UGCAUCUCUUGGAUUACAAGCCACCUUGGGAUGUUAAAUGGCAACAGCACAAACAAAACUCUUUUGAGGAUAACACAGAGCAUCCAAGUGAGCAAGAAGAGAAAACAGUUCAGUUCACAGAUGAAGAGAAAGACCAGUUGAGGAGACUUCCAAAUAAAGAUUAUAUCCUUAAACUCAUAGGAAACAUAAUCCAUUAAAAUAAUUAAAAACCACUGAUAAGUGCUUUUCCAACUGAUUGAUUAGUUUGGAGAAGUAGUGUUCCCUUCUUUCAGUGAAACAACUUAGGUUUGGCUGGUAGCUUUGGGUUAAAAAGUGAUUCUAUAAAAGAAAAAAAAAAGGGAGAAAAAAACUGCUGCUGCAGUGCACACUAGUUGAAAACAAUAAAAUAUCCAGCUUUAAGUUAGUGUUGAAGAAAAGUUGCUAAUAUUAAUUUAAAAAUUGUGGAUUUGGAGCCUAGUGCAUAUAAAUACAAUAUACAUGUAUCCACCAAUAAUCACUUCCUCUUCCAUUAAAAUCCUUGAUUAUAAUAUUUUUAUUUGUUUACAGUAAUAGUUAUUU
Molecule: long non-coding RNA, 558 nt
Organism: Stylophora pistillata
Lineage: Eukaryota; Metazoa; Cnidaria; Anthozoa; Scleractinia; Pocilloporidae
Source: RefSeq, a predicted model, not a curated record